Molecule: non-coding RNA, 1417 nt
Organism: Phoenix dactylifera (date palm)
Lineage: Eukaryota; Viridiplantae; Streptophyta; Magnoliopsida; Arecales; Arecaceae
Source: RefSeq, a predicted model, not a curated record
UUUCAUGUUUAAUGAUUUAAUGAUCAGAUGCAUCAUGCUAGGUUAGACAGGUCAUGCUUAUCGUUAGAAUAGAUGGUUUGUGCUUGACUUAGAUGAUCAAUACUGGGAUUUAGUUAUAAUUUUUAUGAUUGCUUUGGCUUGUAGUCGGAAGCAAUCAAGUCUUAAAUACAACUCAAUCAUUGAAAGCAUCACGGAUAUAAAUCUAUCGGCGGAUUAUAGCCCUAAACACCUCUCUCCAUAGAUAACUCAUACUAUUGCAUCCAUAUUAAUUCUUAGUUUUUAUCAUUCACUCUAGCUUAAGCCCUUUAAAGUAAUUAUUUAGUUAAGAAAAAUAACUUGUCUCCAAUCCCUAUGGAUCGAUACCCGUAAUCACUAUCCUACCAGAUACGUGCUAUUGCGUGGUCUUUAAAGUUGACUAUCACUAACCCCAGGCACCACCAUAGCCACCCCUUUAUCUCUCCUUUUCUCUUCCUUGGCUAGACAGCCAGGUCCUAUACUCCCUCUUUCUCUCUAUUCCCCAUUCUUUCUAUCUUGUUUCUCUCUCUACUAGAUUUCUUCUCUACUCUCUCUCUCUCUCUCUCUCUCUCUCUCUCGCUAGAGAUGUUAGAUCUAAUAUGUUACCUCUUUUCGUGAUUCUAGAUCACUCCUGGUGAAGGGCCCUGAUUAAUAGUCGGCGGGCAGCACAUCAACUCCCACCAUGGCACUUUUUGGAUAUUGUUAAAACUGGUCAUCUCUGAUCUCUAUCGAAACUCCUGUAUCCUAGUGCAAGCAUGAUCAGAUAAAUUUCACUUUGAUUGGACUGAUCUGGGUGUCAGGCACUCCGUUAGGACUUUAGAAGGAUUUUUGAAAUUAAUUGGCCGAUACGUUGGAUUCGCUCGUAAGGUUAGUAAUGUUUCGCUUUUUCUAAAUUUUUUAGUAAUAUUAAAUUAUUAUAUUCAUGACUUUUGAGUGGUGUUAUUCAUGAUGCAAGAGUUGGAUGCAUAAUUAUUAUUGAAUAUUCUAUUUUGGAAUAUUAUAAUGAUAUAUGAUCUUAUUGGAUAUAUGAUUGAUUGAUUUUGACACUGCAUGAUUUUAGAACUGAAGUAUGAAACUCUAAAUCUAUUUAAAUUUUGACCUGACUAUAUUGCAGAUCCCGUUAAUGGGGGCUAAUAUGUUGGCACAUGAUUCGUCCUAAAGGUUGUGUUGCAAGAUGAUGUGCAACAUACCACAAGCAGAUAUAUGGUCCUGAAGGACUUUGCUACAUGAUGAUGCAUAGCUCCCCUCAAGAAGAUGUGCAGUGUUAGAACCUUGCCAUAGGAAAGAUAUGGCCAUAGCUCAAGAUCGAUAAGAUGAAUUAAAUAUUUGAAAAAAUUUGAAUCCAUGAACAAAAACUUCAAUUUCUAAGAAAGGUUUGGUUUGAAAAUGAGUACAGCAUAUA